GUAGGUGGCAAGCGUUGUCCGGAAUUAUUGGGGCGUAAAGCGCGCGCAGGCGGUUCUUUAAGUCUGAUGUGAAAGCCCACGGGCUCAACCGUGGAGGGUCAUUGGAAACUGGAGAACUUGAGUACAGAAGAGGAAAGCGGAAUUCCACGUGUAGCGGUGAAAUGCGUAGAGAUGUGGAGGAACACCAGUGGCGAAGGCGGCUUUCUGGUCUGUAACUGACGCUGAGGCGCGAAAGCGUGGGGAGCAAACAGGAUUAGAUACCCUGGUAGUCCACGCCGUAAACGAUGAGUGCUAAGUGUUAGGGGGUUUCCGCCCCUUAGUGCUGCAGCUAACGCAUUAAGCACUCCGCCUGGGGAGUACGCCGCAAAGGCUG
This 373-nucleotide ribosomal RNA is filed under the name uncultured organism. RNAcentral's name for it is "partial 16S ribosomal RNA". It matches the Rfam family "Bacterial small subunit ribosomal RNA", at positions 527 to 897 of the family's 1533-position model. The record is from RNAcentral.